GGACGACUAGCUCAAUUGGUUAGAGCGUACGGUUCACAUCCGUAAGGCCACAGGUUCAAGUCCUGUGUCGUCCA
RNAcentral lists this transfer RNA (74 nucleotides) under Elusimicrobiota bacterium. Its description in RNAcentral is "Elusimicrobia bacterium (groundwater metagenome) tRNA-Val". It matches the Rfam family "tRNA". Rfam says of the family: Transfer RNA (tRNA) molecules are approximately 80 nucleotides in length. Their secondary structure includes four short double-helical elements and three loops (D, anti-codon, and T loops). The record is from RNAcentral. Lineage: Bacteria; Pseudomonadati; Elusimicrobiota.